RNAcentral lists this ribosomal RNA (253 nucleotides) under uncultured bacterium. RNAcentral's name for it is "partial 16S ribosomal RNA". It matches the Rfam family "Bacterial small subunit ribosomal RNA", at positions 524 to 776 of the family's 1533-position model. The record is from RNAcentral.
UACGAAGGGGGCUAGCGUUGUUCGGAAUUACUGGGCGUAAAGGGCGCGUAGGCGGACUGGUCAGUUUGGUGUGAAAGCCCGGGGCUCAACCUCGGAACUGCAUCAAAUACUUCCAGUCUAGAAUCCCGGAGGGGAGUGUGGAAUUUCUAGUGUAGAGGUGAAAUUCGUAGAUAUUAGAAAGAACACCGGUGGCGAAGGCGACACUCUGGACGGGUAUUGACGCUGAGGCGCGAAAGCGUGGGGAGCGAACGGG